This 253-nucleotide ribosomal RNA is filed under the name uncultured bacterium. RNAcentral describes it as "partial 16S ribosomal RNA". It matches the Rfam family "Bacterial small subunit ribosomal RNA", at positions 524 to 776 of the family's 1533-position model. The record is from RNAcentral.
UACGUAGGAGACGAGCAUUGUCCGGAAUCACUGGGCGUAAAGCGCGUGUAGGCGGAUGAGCAAGUCUGCUGUGAAAGCUCCUGGCUUAACCGGGAGAGGUCGGUGGAAACUGCUCGUCUGGAGGACGGUAGAGGCUGGUGGAAUUCCCGGUGUAGUGGUGAAAUGCGUAGAGAUCGGGAGGAACACCUGUGGCGAAGGCGGCCAGCUGGGCCGGACCUGACGCUGAGACGCGAAGGCGUGGGGAGCGAACGGG